AGUGGGAUAGCUGGGUCAAGUGGGGUGAUUUUAUUCCCAGUUCUCCAAGGAAUCUCCAUACUGUUUUCCAUAUUGGCUGCACCAAUUUGCAGUCCCAUCAGCAAU
RNAcentral lists this microRNA precursor (105 nucleotides) under Marmota monax (woodchuck). The record is from RNAcentral. Lineage: Eukaryota; Metazoa; Chordata; Mammalia; Rodentia; Sciuridae.